GACGAACGCUGGCGGCGCGCUUAACACAUGCAAGUCGAACGGAAAGGCCUGCUUUCCCUUGUGGAUUGCGGGUACUCGAGUGGCGAACGGGUGAGUAACACGUGAGUGAUCUGCCCCCAACUUGGGUAUAAGCCUGGGAAACUGGGUCUAAUUCCCGAUAGGACUGCAGGGUGGUGCCUGUGGUGGAAAACGAUUUUCUAGUGGUUGGGGAUGAGCUCGCGGCCUAUCAGCUUGUUGGUGGGGUAAUGGCCUACCAAGGCGGCGACGGGUAGCCGGCCUGAGAGGGUGGACGGCCACAUUGGGACUGAGAUACGGCCCAGACUCCUACGGGAGGCAGCAGUGGGGAAUAUUGCACAAUGGGCGGAAGCCUGAUGCAGCGACGCCGCGUGGGGGAUGACGGCUUUCGGGUUGUAAACUCCUUUCGACCGCGAGGAAGCCACCUGGUUGGAAGGGUGGUGACGGUAGUGGUAGAAGAAGCACCGGCUAACUACGUG
RNAcentral lists this ribosomal RNA (494 nucleotides) under uncultured bacterium. RNAcentral's name for it is "partial 16S ribosomal RNA". It matches the Rfam family "Bacterial small subunit ribosomal RNA", at positions 28 to 507 of the family's 1533-position model. The record is from RNAcentral.